AACGAACGCUGGCGGCAUGCCUAACACAUGCAAGUCGAACGAGACCUUCGGGUUUAGUGGCUCACGGGUGCGUAACGCGUGGGAACCUGCCCUUAGGUUCGGAAUAACUCCCCGGAAGGGGUGCUAAUAACGGAUAAUGUCUUCGGACCAAAGAUUUAUCGCCUUUGGAUGGGCCCGCGUUGGUUUAGCUAGUUGGUAGGGUAAAAGCCUACCAAGGCGACGAGCCAUAGCUGGUCUGAGAGGAUGAUCAGCCACACUGGGACUGAGACACGGCCCAGACUCCUACGGGAGGCAGCAGUGGGGAAUAUUGGACAAUGGGCGAAAGCCUGAUCCAGCAAUGCCGCGUGAGUGAUGAAGGCCUUAGGGUUGUAAAGCUCUUUUACCCGGGAUGAUAAUGACAGUACCGGGAGAAUAAGCUCCGGCUAACUCCGUG
This 433-nucleotide ribosomal RNA is filed under the name uncultured bacterium. Its description in RNAcentral is "partial 16S ribosomal RNA". It matches the Rfam family "Bacterial small subunit ribosomal RNA", at positions 29 to 507 of the family's 1533-position model. The record is from RNAcentral.